UUUCCCUCUUCUAUUUUCUAUCUUCUUUAUUUUUGGCCUAUUUUCUUCCCUAUUUUCUUCUUUUUCUUCCCUAUUUUCUAUCUUCUUUUUUGCCUAUUUUCUUCUCAUUUUUUCCCUGUUUUCUUCUUUUUUUUCCCUAUUUUCCUCUUUUUUCCCAAUUUUCUUCUUUUUAAUUUGCUUUUUUUUUGGCUUAUUUUCUUUUUUCUUUUUCUUUUUGCUUAUUUUCUUUUUUCUUUUUUUUUGCUUAUUUUCUUUUUUCUUUUUUUUUUUGCUUAUUUUCUUUUUUCUUUUUUUUGCUUAUUUUCUUUUUUUUGCUUUUUUUUUUCCUUUUUUGGCUUAUUUUCUUUUUUUGCUUUUUUUUUUUUUCCUUUUUUUGCUGUUUUUUUUCUUUUGGCUUAUUUUUUCUUUUUUCUUUGCUUAUUUUUUUUCUUUUUUUUUUUUGCCUAUUUUCUUCUUUUUUCCCUAUUUUCUUCCUUAUUUUCCCCCUAUUUUCUUCUUCUUUUUUUUGCCUAUUUUCUUAUUUUUGCCUAUUUUCUUGCUUAUUUUUCCCCUAUUUUCUUCUUUCUUUUGCCUAUUUUCUUGCUUAUUUUUCCCCAUUUACUUCUUUUUUUUUUUGCCUAUUUUCUUCUUUUUUCCCUAUUUUCUUCUUAUUUUCCCUAUUUCUUCUUGUAUUUUCCUCUUUACCAUCUCCUUCCUUUUUCCUAUGCUCAUUUUUUUCUAUUUUCUUGGAUUUUCCCCUAUUUUUUAAGUAUUCUUCUAUUUUCUCGUUUUCCUAACUCACUUUUUGUUUCCAUUUUCUUUCUUUUCCACUUCAUUUCUCUAUUGCCUUCUUUCAUUUCUCUUAUUUUCUACCUUCUCUCUUUUUUUUUCCUAUUUCCUCUUCUAUUUUUUCUGCUUUUCUUCUAUUUUCUCCUCUCUUCUAAUUUUCUUCUAUUUUUCCUAUUUUCUCUUCUAUUUUUUCUGCUUCUCUUCCAUUUUUUCCCCCCCCCCCCCCCCUUAAAAGCUGCCAUUUAAAGGCAAAAAAUGCGGAAUCUGAGGGCGGUCUUUAUGUGGCGGAGCGAUACGAGGUGAUGCGGCUCAGUCCGGUUCCGACCGGCGUCUGGUGGCGCAGUGCCGCUCUGCGCAUGCGCACCCCCCUCCCCCUCCCACCGCAGAGCCGCUCGACGCAUGCGCAACAGCGCCCCCACAGCCGCAGUCCUCCACGCAUGCGCAUCAGACCCCCCCCCAUAGCUGCAAUGACCCCCUCAUUAUACCUCAGGUAGAAGCCUUUUAUUUUGCUUUAAAACCCCUAAAAUUCCUCUUUUUCCUUCCCUUCGCCAUCGAGAAACCCUUCUAUUCUUCUAUUACUAAAAAACAACGCUCAAAAUCCCUUUUUCC
RNAcentral lists this long non-coding RNA (1377 nucleotides) under Coturnix japonica (Japanese quail). RNAcentral's name for it is "lncRNA (ENSCJPG00005001877.1)". Lineage: Eukaryota; Metazoa; Chordata; Aves; Galliformes; Phasianidae. The record is from RNAcentral.